GAUGAACGCUGGUGGCGUGCCUAACACAUGCGAGUCGAGCGAUUCUCUUCGGAGAAGAGCGGCGGACGGGUGAGUAACGCGUGGGUAACCUGCCCUGUACACACGGAUAACAUACCGAAAGGUAUGCUAAUACGAGAUAACAUGCUUUUAUCGCAUGGUAGAAGUAUCAAAGCUUUUGCGGUACAGGAUGGACCCGCGUCUGAUUAGCUAGUUGGUGAGGUAACGGCUCACCAAGGCGACGAUCAGUAGCCGACCUGAGAGGGUGAUCGGCCACAUUGGAACUGAGACACGGUCCAAACUCCUACGGGAGGCAGCAGUGGGGAAUAUUGCACAAUGGGCGAAAGCCUGAUGCAGCAACGCCGCGUGAGCGAUGAAGGCCUUCGGGUCGUAAAGCUCUGUCCUCAAGGAAGAUAAUGACGGUACUUGAGGAGGAAGCCCCGGCUAACUACGUG
This 452-nucleotide ribosomal RNA is filed under the name uncultured bacterium. RNAcentral describes it as "partial 16S ribosomal RNA". It matches the Rfam family "Bacterial small subunit ribosomal RNA", at positions 28 to 507 of the family's 1533-position model. The record is from RNAcentral.